UAAAGCAUUUUCUGCUUCAUAUUUUAUCUCCUAAAAUACUGCAUAUAAUUAGGUUGAUUUUGCAAUUACUCCAGUGGAUACUAAACACUGGGAGAUGGGGAUGUAUUAUCAUUUAAAUAAUGUUAUUUCUAAUAGUGUACCAAAAUACCAAACUUCAAGCAUAUUCCAGACAAGGAGCCUCUGUAACCAGUAGCUCCUCAUCUCACAGCUUAGUUGCUUCAGUUGGCACUGUGACUGCCGUUACAGUGACACUUUCAGAGCAUCAGUCAAGCACAUUAAUGCAGCUUUAAUUACUGAUACAGUUACUCUACCAGUAUAUAAACCUCACUGUACCAGCCAGUUAAUUCUUUGUGGGCAUUUAUGUUUAUGAUUUAACCCACAGCCCAAAAUCAUUUGCCCUUUAAUAAAGUUUGUUGCUUUAUCUCUCUGUAUCAUGCCCUAUGGAAGCCUUUCAAAAUUUAUUCCUCACAGGUUUAGAAGUCAUCACUUCCACUGUAUUAUUAAGAAAACCUGAACUUCUUAUCUGGGGUUUGGGUUGAAUUUUUCAUUUUUAUCUUCCCCCGCAGCUUCUUUGGAAUAUCAGGUCUCUGAUCUGCCUGCAAACCCCAAGCAGUUAAAUACUACUUUGGGCAGCUUUUCUACUUAAGGGCAUGAUUUCAGACUGCUUGUUAUGACAGCCUUGCAGUACCAGUUGUUAUCUGGCAUGGGUAAGUAUUUAACUUUGUAUUUUCAUUGGAAUCACACUCAUUUAUUCUCUGUUGUGUGAGUACUGGAAGUUUAACAUGUCAUUAGUAUUCUCUGUGGUAUUUUGAAAAAUAUCAGCUGAAUCAUUAUGAUACAAGGAAAAUAGGUGCCUCCCAAAUUUGUCUCCAAUUUUCCUCCUCUUAGGGCAUGCAAACUAUGUGAAAACUUCAUUUUUGGCUUGGCACAAAAGCAGUUCCACAUAGAGCUGAGCAUUAUUGAAAAGUAAUUACACCAUCCUCGGCUUCCCAGCAGUGAAAGAAAAGAGGAGUUAUCAGAGGAGGAUGAGCCAAGAGAAUGACCUGGUUUUCCAACACUGUGCACAGGGAGACAUAAGCCGUGGCUGAUGAGGAAUGCUAAUGGUGUCAUGCAGCUGGCAUCCCGUGCUAAAGCAAGCAGCCGCAGUGACAGCUUGGGCUGCCACCGGAGGAAAUCAGUGCCUGUCUUGCAGGAAGCAGAGCUGCCUGCUUUCUCAGCAGUGUCCUGAGGGAUUUCACUGCAGCUCUUUAUUAUUACCUUUAUUUUAUACUUCACUCAUGGGGUCAUUAAGCAUGCCGUGUGAACGCACGAUUUAGAUCUCCCCUAGGGGCUCUGGCACAGGUAAUGGUACAUGUACUGCAUGGCUUUGUGGUGUCAUUGGCUCAUAGAAGCUCAUCUAAGGUGUGGUAGGAGGAGACAAUUUGCCCCAUGGACAGCAGCAGUAACCACAUCUGCUUCCCAUGAUUUGUGCAGAAAUCCUAUCUCACCUCAUCCCAUCCUUGUCUCCCUCCUCCUCCACAGCCCAGGUUCCCUCCAUAUCUCCUAACAUCCUUUGCCCCCAGUAGCCUGCCAAGGACUGGCCAGGGAGAAGACAGUGUAUGCUGAGGCUGGUCCAAGCCAGUGCUGUUUGGCUAAACAGAGCAGAUGAUCACUGAGCUCCUGCUGAUGCCUCAUCUCAGUGCAAGCAGCCACUCGGCUGCAGAACAAAAUGAUGAGCAGAAUGUGUUUACCCAGUGCCCACUCCCCAAAAGAAGAGGACUCUAUUUGCUAAAUAAAUCCUUUUUACUUGGAAGAAAAAGCUGAAAACAAAACCUUCUGCAGGUGGGUCAUUUUAACAUGACUCCCUAGAAAACGAAGAAUGCUACUCUGGAGAAAUGCAUAUCUGACUGGAGCUGAGUGGAAGGUAUAGCAAAUAUGAUGGACUGCCUUUGCUGCAAUGAUAGACUGCUACUGUUGGUGUCUGCACCUUUCCUCAGACUGAAAAAGAAGCAUCUCUCUGCCUCUUACUGGUAUUUCUGUUGGAAAACCAAAGUUUAAAAGGUUUCCCUUCAUCCCUAGUGUCAACUCUUCCUAUCAUCUUCAAGAGGAUUGAACUGUUGAGAAGAACCCCUGCAUACAAGGAGAAAGAAGACAUGGAGCUCAGAAAAUGGGAGAAGGUACUAGGGCGUUCCUGCCCUGAGCAGCUCAGACAAAAAUGCACUUUGGACUGAUUCUUUCCUCCCACCCCAAGAGCUGAGUGCUCCAGCUGGAUGGCUACAGAUUUUUAACUAUACCCAGUGUCAACUAUACCGAGUGCCACUACAUGUGAAAGGAGAUGGAACAGGGAACAGACUCUCAAGCCCAAGCACUCAGAAACUGAAGCAACCUUUUCCCUAGUUUGGAAGGUGGAUCAUUAUUUGUAUUUGUCUUCUGUUGCACUGAGUUUGCAGUAGCUAGGGACAUUUUAUUUUCAAUGGAAGAUGAAAUUCCUGCGUAAUCACGUAAUUCCUGCACCUGAGGCUUUAAGAAAAAACACUGACCGCUGCAGGAGUUGGCAGCAGUGGGGGAAGAGGAAGAGGAGAUGGAGGAGGAAAUAAUCUCAUUCUCUCACUGCAGGAGUGGAAUCCGACCCUGCUGCUGAUGAGUGGUGAUAGAGGCAGCAUCCGAGAGCAAGAGGAAAUGGGAGAACCAGAGGAGAAAAGAGCCCUUAGGAAGACAUCCUUAAGAGAAGGAAAUACUUGGGAUUAGCAGGGAAGGUCAUCAGGCUGUGCAGCCCUCAGACAUCUGUCCAAACCAAUUUGGAGCUCCUGGCUGCUGGGUUGCCUCAUUAGUGAGUAUUUUUUGUGCUCCAAAAGAUGAGGUGGGGAAGGAUGUCUUUCCUGCUCCUGUUUAUCUGCGUCAUAGGGAUAACACCUGAUUUUGUCUAUAUCCAACUGUGAACCAUACUGAAAAGAAAGUGUGGAGGCAAAAAAAAACAAACCUCAAAAUGGUAGAAGUGCCUCACAGUUGGAAGUAAGGGGAACUCAGAGCUGGAGAUGCAUUUUGUGCUUUGUUCACUUUGUCUCUUUGGAGCAGAAAAUGUAAAUUUUUACUCUACUAACCUACAAAAUGUGGAUAUGGAGCCAUACAAUGUUAGGAAUCCAAGUAUUAAAACUGAGUACAGAGAAAUGAGGCAAAAGGAAAUUUUUGUAUAUUUUGCCUCUCCAGACAAAACAGGACUGCUAAAAUAUGUACGUAUACAUUGAGCUGUGGCAUCAGUUUUCUAGUUCUGCAUUAAUAUCAUCUGUAGUAGCAGAAACACUGUAUAAAGCAUUCAUCCAUCAUUUUUUUCUUAUUUUGUGUAAGGUGACUACACAGUUCAGUCUUGUACUCUCCCUAAUAGUGUGCCACUCUUCUUUUUCCAGUAGAUUUGAGAGGAUGAAGUUUAUGUUUCUGUUUUCAAGUGUUGCUUCCUUCACAGGCAGGAAAUCCUCCCUCCCUCCAUGCAUGUUUAAAAUAGUUGACAGAUCCCCCAAUUAAUUGCAUAUCAAACUGAAGUUCUUUUUCCUGUCCUACGUGACUAUGCACUCCUCUUAAAUAGUCCAUCUGUUUUCUUACUCCCAAUAAGAAUAUUGAAAACAUCCCCUACCUACCAAAACAAAAACUCUCCUGGGAAGAUGAAUGUGGCAGUAGCAUGUGCCAGUGAGAUCACUCAUGUAUCACUGGGCUAUCUUUAAGUAUUACCAACAGGAGACCUCUCAGAACAUAUAUAAAAUACAUAGUAACAUCUCCAAACUAGUCAAGUCCUUUUCCUAGUUUAUAUCCCUUCCAAAGAUGUGUUUUGAAAAAUUGACCUUCCUAAUGAAUACAGCUUUCUGGGUUGCUCUUCUGUAUAUAUCACUAUAACCUUUGUCCUUCCCUCUACCCCUUCCUCCUUUCUUUGCCUGUUAAUAAUUCACAAUUACUGUACCAUAACCAAGCUCUGCCCAAAUUUCUCUUCCUAUCUCUCUCUAUAGCUUUUUCUAGAUUGGUUUUGUUUGUUGGUUGGUUGGUUUGGUUUUGUUUUUAAAUAUAAUCUGAUCCCUCCUCCUGCACUUGCAUUCUGGAAUGGCAACUCAAAAUACAAGUAAAUCACUGAUGAAGGGUGUAAUACAGAACACACCUGAAAAAACAGCUGUGCAAACUGUAACAUUGAAUUUUUGGUCUUCAAUACAGGGUUUGUUGCAAGUGUAUGUAAGAGAUUUUCUGACUUCCUAAUCAAUGUACCUGCUUUUACUAACUUCAUCUAUAACCUACUAGUGCUUUUAUCACAAAAAAAGGAGACAUGAUAAUGGAACUGUAGAUAUUUCUGAGUUAAUUUCCUCCUCAUUUAAAAUUAUUUGCAAAAGAGAAUGUGGUAACAGAUUAAAAGAGUGAACAAAUUCCAUCU
Molecule: long non-coding RNA, 4387 nt
Organism: Passer domesticus (house sparrow)
Lineage: Eukaryota; Metazoa; Chordata; Aves; Passeriformes; Passeridae
Exons: 3
Source: RefSeq, a predicted model, not a curated record